AUGGCUGCUUCAACGACGACAGAGAAUAAUUCAUAUGCUAUUAUGGAGGAAGACACGCUUUUUACGUUGAUCAAUUCAUCGGAAUUCCUUUCCUUCUGGGCAAUGAACCAACUUAUUGACAUCAUGUCAUUUUCAAAUUUCUUUUAUUUCAUUGGUGUCCUUCUUAUUGCUGCUCAUUGGCUUAUGGCAUACGGCCGGGCGGGAUGUAACCAGCCUCUGAGCUGCGGCCCUCCACCACCGCCCAUAAGCUACCAGGAGGAGCUUUACGACUUCCCGGCCUGCGGGGCCGGGCGCACCAAGGGCCAGACGCGGUGCGUGCCAACCGGCCGGCGCCUAGCAGAUGUGAGCCACCUUACCCAGAGAGGCGAACCUGGAUUAGGAAAGUUGACAUUAAUCAACUCUUUACUCCUCACAGAUUUGUAUUCUCCAGAGUAUCCAGGUCCUUCUCAUAUAAUUAAAAAGAAUGUACAGGUGGACAAUCCAAAGCUUUAAUCAAAGAACGUGGCGUUCAGGUGCUGCUGCUCACAAUAGUUGAUACCCCAGGAUUUGGAGAUGCACUGGAUAAUAGUAAUUGCUGGCAGCUUGUUAUCGAUUACAUUGAUAGUAAAUGCAGAAUCGUGAAGGAACAGACGUCAGAUGCCUGAUAGCAAGGUGCAGUGUUGUUAAUACUUAAUUGCUCCUUCAGGACAUGGACUUAAACCAUUGGAUAUUGAGCUUAUGAAGCGUAUGCAUGAAAAAGUGAUUAUCAUCCCACUUAUUGCCAAAGCAGACACACUCACACCAGAAGAAUGCCAACAGUUUAAAAAACAGAUAAUGAAAGAAAUCCAAGAACAUAAAAUUAAAAUAUAUGAAUUUCCAGAAACAGAUGAUGAUGAAGAAAAUAAACUUGUUAAAAAGGUAAAGGACCGUUUGCCUCUUGCUGUGGUAGGUAGUAACACUAUCAUUGAAGUUAAUGGCAAAAGGGUCAGAGGAAGGUAGUAUCCUUGGGGUGCUGCUGAAGUUGAAAAUGGUGAACAUUGUGAUUUUACAAUUCUAAGAAAUAUGUUGAUAAGAACACACACGCAGAACUUGAAAGAUGUUACUAAUAAUGUCCACUACAAGAGGUACAGAAGCAGAAAACUGGCAGCUGUGACUUAUAAUGGAGUUACUAACAACAAGAAUAAAGGGCAGCUGACUAAGAGCCCUCCGGCACAAAUGGAAGAAAGAAGGUCUAAAAUGAAGAAGAUAGAGAUGGAGCUAAAAUGAAGAAGAUAGAGAUGGAGAUGGAGCAGGUGUUUGAGAUGAAGGUCAAAUAAAAAGUUCAAAAACUAAAGGACUCUGAAGCUGAGCUCCAGCGGCGCCAUGAGCAAAUGAAAAAGAAUUUGGAAGCACAACACAAAGAAUUAGAGGAAAAACGUCGUCAGUUUGAGGAUGAGAAAGCAAACUGGGAAGCUCAACAACGUAUUUCAGAACAACAGAACUCUCUGAGAACCUUGGAAAAGAACAAUAAGAAAGGGAAGAUCUUUUAAAGUAUUGACCACCAGUUACGUAUUAGUUGCCAAUAUGCCAGCUUGGACAUCAGUGUUUGUUGGAUCCGUUUGACCAAUAUGCACCAGUUUUAUCCAUAAUGAUGGAUUUAACAGCAUGACAAAAAUUAUUUUUUUGUUGUUCUUGAUGGAGAUUAAGAUGCCUUGAAUUGUCUAGGGUGUUGUGUACUUAGAAAGUAACAGCUCUAAGUACCUUUCCUACAUUUUCUUUUUCUUUUUU
This is a non-coding RNA of Macaca mulatta (Rhesus monkey), 1746 nucleotides long. Lineage: Eukaryota; Metazoa; Chordata; Mammalia; Primates; Cercopithecidae. The record is from RefSeq and is a predicted model, not a curated record.